RNAcentral lists this ribosomal RNA (279 nucleotides) under uncultured Planctomycetaceae bacterium. RNAcentral describes it as "partial 16S ribosomal RNA". It matches the Rfam family "Bacterial small subunit ribosomal RNA", at positions 188 to 466 of the family's 1533-position model. The record is from RNAcentral. Lineage: Bacteria; Pseudomonadati; Planctomycetota; Planctomycetia; Planctomycetales; Planctomycetaceae.
AACAUCUUCGGAUCAAAUGGUGUGAUUCCGCUCGAGGAUAGGACCGCGUACUAUUAGCUUGUUGGUGAGGUAACGGCUCACCAAGGCUGCGAUGGUUACCGGGUGUGAGAGCAUGACCCGUCUCACUGGGACUGAGACACUGCCCAGACACCUACGGGUGGCUGCAGUCGAGAAUCUUCCGCAAUGGACGCAAGUCUGACGGAGCGACGCCGCGUGCUGGAUGAAGGCCCUCGGGUUGUAAACAGCUGUCGUAGGGGAGGAAAUUUUGACCGAUCCUAG